This 740-nucleotide long non-coding RNA is filed under the name Gadus morhua (Atlantic cod). RNAcentral's name for it is "lncRNA (ENSGMOG00000030500.1)". The record is from RNAcentral. Lineage: Eukaryota; Metazoa; Chordata; Actinopteri; Gadiformes; Gadidae.
AUGGAGGGGGCGGGAACUACGCCCACAUGGAGGGGGCGGGAACUUAGUCCACAUGGAGGGGGCGGCCACUCAGUUCACAUUGAGGACUGGUCAAACAGCAUUUCUGAUCCCGUUUCUGACCUGAAAUUAGCUGAAAUGUACCUGAAAUUACCUGAAAUUAGAGUGUGCCCGCCCGAGCGAGUGAUGCCUAAAACAUGCAAACAAAACUGAAGACCAGGAACUGGAACCUGGGAACCUGAAAGAUGAUGUUGUCCUGAAAGACACAAUUCAGGCAGCAGCAUGGUGCCAGUUACAGUCCUUCAAGGACAGCGUUUCUCUCCCAGAGGUCAUUGGGAUGGAAGGUUGGGAGCAGAUGGCAGCAUCAACACAGCGCAAAUCCCAUGACGGCGGGGAUGAGGAAGAAACGUGGAAACCAUUCCAAUUCUCAUUCAGAUUACAUACUGAUAUGAACUGUUCUGUGUGGAGAUGAUGGACAGGAGAAACCUGAAGGUGUUUGCCUCUUUUGAGUCAAACACCUCUCCCCCUCCCCGUGACGCCUGAGCCACACAACUCCAAUGUAGUCUGAUGAUGCAGCAUAAUGGCGGCGCUUGGCAGCUAUGUAUGGAGGUAGAUUUGUGUCUUUAUUAUGCAAUCAAAAAUAAUAGGUUUGAGAGCAAAACUUUCCACACUGCAAUCAAAAAAUAGGUUUGAGAGCAAAACUUUCCACACUGCAAUCAAAAAAUAGAUUUGAGGGCAAAACU